UUUCCCCUGCCCUGUUGGUGCUUGGGCGGAUAAUUUCGAGCCAACAUUGACAUUGAGGGUGACCUCAAGCUGCUUCCGGCUGGGAAGUCGGUUCGCCGAAUUCCUUAUAAGGAAGUGCAGGUAUCGCCCACCUAACUCAGUUAGGUUCGAUGUCACCGUUCGGGGACGGCAAUGGCGGGGGAUUU
This 185-nucleotide non-coding RNA is filed under the name Desulfobulbaceae bacterium. Its description in RNAcentral is "6S RNA". It matches the Rfam family "6S / SsrS RNA". From Rfam's summary of the family: E. coli 6S RNA was the first non coding RNA to be sequenced, but its function was unknown until recently. It consists of 184 nucleotides that fold into an extended hairpin structure with a large single-stranded internal bulge. Lineage: Bacteria; Pseudomonadati; Thermodesulfobacteriota; Desulfobulbia; Desulfobulbales; Desulfobulbaceae. The record is from RNAcentral.